Molecule: long non-coding RNA, 199 nt
Filed under: Prunus persica (peach)
Lineage: Eukaryota; Viridiplantae; Streptophyta; Magnoliopsida; Rosales; Rosaceae
Description: long non-coding RNA (PPER_LNC002404)
Source: RNAcentral
UCGCGCAAAGUCUAAAACAAUUAUAUAUAAAAAAUUCCCGCGUCCCAUUUUUGGUACCCGCCCAAAUUUUUGCGCGACGAACAAUAUAUAUUGGUCGCUCAAAGUUUUGCGCGACGAAACAUAUUGGUCUCGCAAACUUUUGCGCGACGAAUAUAGGAGUAUUGGUCGCGCAAAGUCUAAAAAAAAUUUUUUUAAAAAA